This 253-nucleotide ribosomal RNA is filed under the name uncultured bacterium. Its description in RNAcentral is "partial 16S ribosomal RNA". It matches the Rfam family "Bacterial small subunit ribosomal RNA", at positions 524 to 776 of the family's 1533-position model. The record is from RNAcentral.
UACGAAUUGUGCGAACGUUAUUCGGAAUCACUGGGCUUAAAGGGUGCGUAGGCGGAUUUAAAGGUCUGAUGUGAAAUCCCACGGCUCAACCGUGGAAUGGCGUUGGAAACCAUGAAUCUUGAGGAGAUCAGAGGUAAGCGGAACUGAUGGUGGAGCGGUGAAAUGCGUUGAUAUCAUCAGGAACACCGGUGGCGAAAGCGGCUUGCUGGGAUCUUUCUGACGCUGAGGCACGAAAGCCAGGGGAGUGAACGGG